UUGGCCUACGGGACGCAGCAGUGGGGAAUAUUGCACAAUGGGGGGGACCCUGAUGCAGCGACGCCGCGUGAAGGAAGAAGUAUUUCGGUAUGUAAACUUCUAUCAGCAGGGAAGAAAAAGGACGGUACCUGACUAAGAAGCCCCGGCUAACUACGUGCCAGCAGCCGCGGUAAUACGUAGGGGGCGAGCGUUAUCCGGAUUUACUGGGUGUAAAGGGGGCGCAGACGGCCAUGGCAAGCCCGGUGUGAAGG
Molecule: ribosomal RNA, 251 nt
Filed under: uncultured bacterium
Lineage: Bacteria
Description: partial 16S ribosomal RNA
Rfam family: Bacterial small subunit ribosomal RNA
Source: RNAcentral